Molecule: long non-coding RNA, 216 nt
Filed under: Mytilus galloprovincialis (Mediterranean mussel)
Lineage: Eukaryota; Metazoa; Mollusca; Bivalvia; Mytilida; Mytilidae
Source: RNAcentral
GUGCUAAAAAUUAUAUCUUCAUGUGCUAAAUUUAAAAGACAAAUGGGUUUGAAUUAUUCGACAUUUACUUAAUAUUUCGGUUUCUUGGACCUUUCUGUCCUUUGAGCAGACACCCUUAACAUUUUAUGUUUCAAAAUAUAAAGAUAUGCAGAUUUCGGUAAAGAGAUAAGGAAUAUCUUCGUUACAAAAUUGGGUUCUUACUACAUUUGUGUAACA